Long non-coding RNA from Sapajus apella (tufted capuchin), 1019 nucleotides. RefSeq lists it as uncharacterized. The transcript is spliced from 2 exons. The record is from RefSeq and is a predicted model, not a curated record. Lineage: Eukaryota; Metazoa; Chordata; Mammalia; Primates; Cebidae.
CCCCGACCAGGCCCAGGACUAGGUCGAGGCCUGGCGAGCGGACCGAGGCGGGGUCAGGCUCGAAGCUCUGCUUGCUCUCCUGCCUCUCCCUCCCUCGGAAAAGUGUCUACUCUUUUGAGGGGGCUUUCACAGACUGAGCCGUUCUUUUCUGACCCUCCUCUAUGAAUCAUUCUCGGCGGACAAGAGCAACCCUUCUCUUCUCCGCCCAUCUAUGAACCAGCAGCUAGAUGGACUACAAUUCCCUGCAUGCAAUGGGGUUAUCCCGCUCUUCCAUCUGAUUUACUGGAGUGCCAAUGGCAUGCUGGGAUUAGUAGUCAUCCAGACGGAAAGACUUCCCUCCAAGGGCAUGCUGGGAACUGUGGUACGGCGAGGGCCGGAAAUGGGAGUCUGGCGGCCGCCUGAGGCCAGCGGCGGGGAGACCGUUAGAGGGAGGGUCUAAGCCUGUGCCUUGGUUUUGUUCCUUACGCUGCUGAAUGUCCUGCUCCAGCCUCGGCUCGUUGGGCUGGCUGGACUGGCUGAUGGUCGCGGAAACUGCCACCCCUUGGUGGGAACUGUCAAGCACCGGUUUAAUUCCCUUUUCUCACUCAGCGGUUUCGGUCUCGGAAAUUCCUUCCACUCUUGUUUGCAUUCUUAUUAUGUACUCGGCUACAGUAACGUGGGAAAUAAUCUAAGGCAGUUAUCUGGAUAAAAGAGGACUUGGCGUUUUUGUUUUUUUUUUUGCCUUAAUACUAAUCUUUAGCAUACAUUUCGUGCAUCGGGCUCCAGACUUUCUUAGCUUGAGUUGAUGGAGAGUGGAUGAAUUCUCCAAGUAACUCCAAGUUUUUCAUUCCAAGCAGCCUUUAUCAGUAAUCAUCCUUGAUGCCUCUCUUACCAGUCUCUCCUUCCUGAGCUGUGCUGAAGAGAAACUAGAAGGGGCAAAAGUUUAUUCAUCUAAUAAUUGAAUUUCUUCUAUGUUGCUAGAUAUUCUGCUAGAUACUGGGAAUUUGGAGAUAAGAAUAAAUGGGACUUGAGUUUAUGGA